AUUGAACGCUGGCGGCAGGCCUAACACAUGCAAGUCGAACGGUAACAGGAAGCAGCUUGCUGCUUCGCUGACGAGUGGCGGACGGGUGAGUAAUGUCUGGGAAGCUGCCUGAUGGAGGGGGAUAACUACUGGAAACGGUAGCUAAUACCGCAUAAUGUCGCAAGACCAAAGAGGGGGACCUUCGGGCCUCUUGCCAUCGGAUGUGCCCAGAUGGGAUUAGCUUGUUGGUGGGGUAACGGCUCACCAAGGCGACGAUCCCUAGCUGGUCUGAGAGGAUGACCAGCCACACUGGAACUGAGACACGGUCCAGACUCCUACGGGAGGCAGCUGUGGGGAAUAUUGCACAAUGGGCGCAAGCCUGAUGCAGCCAUGCCGCGUGUAUGAAGAAGGCCUUCGGGUUGUAAAGUACUUUCAGCGGGGAGGAAGGGAGUAAAGUUAAUACCUUUGCUCAUUGACGUUACCCGCAGAAGAAGCACCGGCUAACUCCGUG
RNAcentral lists this ribosomal RNA (490 nucleotides) under uncultured bacterium. RNAcentral's name for it is "partial 16S ribosomal RNA". It matches the Rfam family "Bacterial small subunit ribosomal RNA", at positions 30 to 507 of the family's 1533-position model. The record is from RNAcentral.